UUUUUUUCUUUUUCUUUUUUUUUUUUUUUGAGACGGAGUCUUGCUCUCUUGCCGCGGCUGGAGUGCAGUGGCCGGAUCUCAGCUCACUGCAAGCUCCGCUCAGCCUCCCGAGUAGCUGGGACUACAGGCACCCGCCACCUCGCCCGGCUAAUUUUUUGUAUUUUUUAGUAGAGACAGGGUUUCACCGUGUUAUCCAGGAUGGUCUCGAUCUCCUGACCUCUUGAUCUGCCCGUCUCGGCCUCCCAAAGUGCUGGGAUUACAGGCUUGUGCCACCGCGCCCGGCCGAUUAUCUCAUUUUCAAGUGUAUAGCUCUAUGGCAUUAGGUACAUUCGCAUUGCUGUGCAACAGUUACCACCCUCAAUUCCAGAACUUUUCCAUUCCUCUAAACUGAAACUCUAUACACCCUUAACAAUCACUCUCCCAUUCUGCUGGGGAAGAUGGCUCAUGCCUAUAAUCCCAAUACAUUGGGAGGCUCAGGUGGGCUGACUGCUUGACCCCAGGAGUUUGAGACCAGCCUGGACAACAUAGCAAGGCCUCAUCUCAACAAAAAAUAAAAAUUAAAUUAAAUUUUAAAAUAACUCCACAUUCCUUCCUUCCCCCAGCCACUGGUAAUCACUAUUCUACUUUCUGUCUCUAUGAAUUUGAAUACUGUAGGUUCAUCAUGUAAGUACAAACAUAUAAUAUUUGUCCUUUUAUGUCUGGCUUAUUUCACCUAACAUAGUAUCUUCAAAGUUUAUCUAUGUUGUAGCACGUAUCAGAAUUCCUUUUUAAGGCAGAAUAAUAUUCCAUUAUAUGCAUACACUAUAUUUUGCUUAUCCAUUCAUCUGUUGGAUAAAUGCCUUCAAUUCUUUUGGGCACACGCCCAGAAGUAGAAUUGCUAGAUCAUCUGGUAAUUCUAUGUUUAAUUUUUUGAGGACCACCAUACUAUUCUCCACAGUGGCUGCAGCAUAUUACAUUCCCAUCCGUAAUGCACAAGGGUUCCAUUUUUUCCACAUCCUCACCAACGCUUACUAUCUUCUGUCUUGGGUUUUUAUUGCUUGUUUAUUUUUUGUUUUUCAGUAAUACUCAUCC
RNAcentral lists this long non-coding RNA (1071 nucleotides) under Macaca fascicularis (crab-eating macaque). RNAcentral's name for it is "lncRNA (ENSMFAG00000052650.1)". The record is from RNAcentral. Lineage: Eukaryota; Metazoa; Chordata; Mammalia; Primates; Cercopithecidae.